This is a non-coding RNA of Myotis davidii, 415 nucleotides long. The record is from the annotation of a RefSeq genome assembly. NCBI's taxonomy places the organism in Eukaryota, Metazoa, Chordata, Mammalia, Chiroptera, Vespertilionidae.
AGGCUGGGGUCUCAGAAGGCAGCGCUCUCAGGGCACCUCCACCAUGGCCUGGGCUCUGCUCCUCCUCAGCCUCCUCUCUCAGGGCACAGGGUCCUGGGCGCAGGCUCCCCUCACUCAGCCGCCCUCAUUGUCUGGGAAUCCAGGGACGUCGGUCACCAUCUCCUGUGCUGGAAGCAGCAAUGACAUUGGGAGGUAUAAUGAUGUCUCCUGGUACCAACAGCGCCCGGGCGCAGCCCCUAAACUCCUGAUUUAUAGGGUCAGCAAUCGGCCCUCGGGGAUCCCUGAGCGCUUCUCUGGCUCCAAGUCUGGCAACACGGCCACCCUGACCAUUGCUGGGCUGCAGGCCGAGGACGAGGCCGAUUAUUACUGUUGCUCAUAUGCAGGCAGUGGCACUUUCCACGGUGGGACCCAGUGA